UUUCCGUAAGGUUAUUAAGGAUCUAUAAAACUAGAAGACGUCAAGUGUUCGACGAAACCGACUAUAGAAAAUUAUUUCUUUUCUAACUAUCUUACGGUUGUAGGAUUCCGUUUCUGGAGAUGGAAGAGUUGAUUUGCUUUAAAUAUCUCAUCUACCGAUAUUUUUAAAGGAUACUACGUAUGCGUCGUAUGUGACGUAAUGUGGGUUGCGUCGGGUCGGGUCGGGUCGGGUCGGGCCGGGCCGGCGUUUGUGUCACUCGAAGGCUAAAAUCCGGCAGUAGCAGGUGAUAAAAGUGGGUCACAUACGAUAAUAACGUGCAAACUAAAGAAAGUGUUCCAGAUUUGGCAAAGCUCAGGCUGAUGCCAAAGGAAGUGAUGCUACGUGAAAAGCAUUGUAAGCUGCUGCUGCUGCCACUUGCGCAAAACGACUAAUUCGGGCUUCUACAACAAACUAUUGAAAAAAAUCUACCGGAAAUAGUAAAACGAAAUGGCAUUGUCUAUCCCCCAUAAAUAUGAUAUAUUUUGGUACACUCGUAGUUGUUUUAAUUUGGCUUUUAUUUUGAGGGAUGCGCCAAACCAUCGAAGGAAGUUCUAUGGUGGCACCAGAGAAAUGGUUAAAGAGCAUUUAUCAAAAUGGCACAUAUUUCCCUUAGUAAUACUAUAUUCAGAAUAUAGAAACAUUUACUUGAAUUCUAAUUUUUGAAAGUGGUCAAUAUAAUGAUUUCUCUGUAACGUUUCGCCGCUUCGUGGACAUCCGUCGUUUGUUUAAUGUGGAAUCAAGUCUUGAUCUAUUUCUGCUGAAAACUCCCCUUUACACCUGAGACUGACGUAUGGCUGUAGCGUCCAUAAAUAA
Varroa destructor (honeybee mite) is the source of this 852-nucleotide long non-coding RNA. RefSeq lists it as uncharacterized. The record is from RefSeq and is a predicted model, not a curated record. Lineage: Eukaryota; Metazoa; Arthropoda; Arachnida; Mesostigmata; Varroidae.